Molecule: ribosomal RNA, 433 nt
Filed under: uncultured bacterium
Lineage: Bacteria
Description: partial 16S ribosomal RNA
Rfam family: Bacterial small subunit ribosomal RNA
Source: RNAcentral
AACGAACGCUGGCGGCAUGCCUAACACAUGCAAGUCGAACGAGACCUUCGGGUCUAGUGUCGCACGGGUGCGUAACGCGUGGGAACCUGCCCUUAGGUUCGGAAUAACUCCCCGAAAGGGGUGCUAAUACCGGAUAAUGUCUUCGUACCAAAGUUUUAUCGGCUUUGGAUGGGGCCGCGUUGAUUUAGCUAGUUGGUAGGGUAAAAGCCUACCAAGGCGACGAUCCAUAGCUGGACGGAGAGGAUGUACACUGAGACUGGGACUGAGACAAGGCCCAGACGCGAGGGGGCAGCAGCGAUGGGGACUAUAGGGCAGUGGGCGAAAGGCUGAUACAGCAAUGCCGCGUGGGUGAUGAAGGCCUUAGGGUUGUAAAGCAAUUUUGACAGGGAUGAUAAUGACAGUACCGGGAGAAUAAGCACCGGCUAACUCCGUG